GUUUAUUCCGGGUUUUUAUUUUAUUGGCACCGGGGUCUCCCGCAGGGGCCGCCACGCUCCUGACGUCACGGCCCCGCCCAUUACGUUAAGGCAGCAGCGGGAAGCAAAUGAGGGGCGGGGUCCCUAGUGAUGGGCAGAAGCCGCAGGCCCCGCCCCCGACGUCAGUGCGGAUAUGCUAAUGAGGCACUGGAAGCAGCGCGGGGGCGGGGCUGAGCAUCAGAUAUGCAAAUGAGCUGGCGGGGAUUCCCCACAGGCAAAUGAGCUGGGCGCUCCUUAUGCAAAUGAGCGGCAGGGUUAAGGCUUUGGCGAUUUGCAUAUGCAAAUGAGGGCCUGGGGCCCUGGCCCCGGGAUUGGGGGCGGAGCCCGGAGAUGUCAGAGCGCUGACGUCACGCGCAUGAGGGCGUGGCCUCGGGUUCUUCCUCUCCGCCGAGCAUCACGGGAGUCGUCACUGGGCGGAACCGGCUACACGGGGGCGGGGCCUGAGGGGAGAGAACCGGAAGUUAGGGCGACGGUGACGUCAGGGGACUCAGGGGCAGGGCCCGGGAAGUGGAUGGUGGGGCAGGAAGUUCCGGCUGCUUCGUGACGUGAUUGACAGGCUCCGCUCAGGUGAUGCCCCUGGCUGACAUCACUGAAGACCCAGCCCGGGUGGUGAAUGACGUCACAAGGCAGUGAAGGGGGUUCCCGAUUGUANNNNNNNNNNNNNNCUGCCCCGCCGCUGUCAGUCAGGGCACGGAAGCCCCGCCCCUCCCGGGGCCCCGCCCUCACCGCUCUCCCGGAAGCACAGCCGCCGCUUCUGAUAGGCCACGAAGCUCGACACCGCGCCGGCCAGGGCGGCGACCACGGCGCCCACGAUGCCGGGAACCAGGCCCUGGGGGGACCCUGUGGGGGGAGAGAGCGGCGGGGGGGGGGGGCGGGGCAGUGCUCAGUGCUCCCCAGACAGUGCUCAGUGCUCCCCAGACAGUGCUCAGUGCUCCCCAGACAGUGCUCAGUGCUCCCCAGACAGUGCUCAGUGCUCAGUAUUCAGUGCUCAGUGCUCCUCACUCAGUGCUCACUGCUCCUCACUCAGUGCUCACUGCUCCUCACUCAGUGCUCAGUGCUCCUCACUCAGUGCUGAGUGCUCCCCACAGAGUGCUCAGUGCUCCUCACUCAGUGCUCAGUGCUCAGUAUUCAGUGCUCCUCACUCAGUGCUCCUCACUCAGUGUUCAGUGCUCCUCACUCAGUGCUCAGUCCUCAGUGCUCCUCACUCAGUGCUCAGUGCUCCUCACUCAGUGCUCCUCACUCAGUGCUCAGUGCUCCUCAUUCAGUGCUCAGUUCUCAAUGCUCGCCAGACAGUGCUUAGUGCUCCCCACAGUGCUCAGUGCUCCUCGCUCAAUGCUCCCUAGACAGUGCUCAGUGCUCCCCAGACAGUGCUCAGUGCUCCUCACUCGGUGCUCCUCACUCCGUGCUCCCCCCCUCCUCCCUCACCUCCGGCUUCCGGCUCUGGUUCAGGACCCCCUCGGCUGCCGCCCCCCCCUGC
This 1516-nucleotide long non-coding RNA is filed under the name Cricetulus griseus (Chinese hamster). RNAcentral's name for it is "lncRNA (ENSCGRG00000024278.1)". The record is from RNAcentral. Lineage: Eukaryota; Metazoa; Chordata; Mammalia; Rodentia; Cricetidae.